Molecule: ribosomal RNA, 380 nt
Filed under: uncultured eukaryote
Lineage: Eukaryota
Description: partial 18S ribosomal RNA
Rfam family: Eukaryotic small subunit ribosomal RNA
Source: RNAcentral
CAAUAGCGUAUAUUAAAGUUGUUGCGGUUAAAAAGCUCGUAGUUGGAUUUCUGCUGAGAACGACCGGUCCGCCCUCUGGGUGUGUAUCUGGCUCUUUCUUGGCAUCUUCUUGGUGAACGUUGCUGCACUUGACUGUGUGGAGCGCUACCCAGGACUUUUACUUUGAGGAAAUUAGAGUGUUUCAAGCAGGCAUACGCCUUGAAUACAUUAGCAUGGAAUAAUAAGAUAGGACCUCGGUUCUAUUUUGUUGGUUUCUAGAGCUGAGGUAAUGAUUAAUAGGGAUAGUUGGGGGCAUUCGUAUUUAACUGUCAGAGGUGAAAAUCUUGGAUUUGUUAAAGACGGACUACUGCGAAAGCAUUUGCCAAGGAUGUUUUCAUUGA